RNAcentral lists this long non-coding RNA (553 nucleotides) under Cyanistes caeruleus (blue tit). Its description in RNAcentral is "lncRNA (ENSCCEG00000010314.1)". The record is from RNAcentral. Lineage: Eukaryota; Metazoa; Chordata; Aves; Passeriformes; Paridae.
AAGCUCUUGGUUACACCAGUUGGCAUCAGUGUAGAGCUUCUGAAGUAACUAGAAAGCUGAAAUUAGUGAAUUUGUGUUGCAGGCAGAAGAGGCAUCUAGUAAAGACCAAACUGCUUCCUUAUGGGAACACAUCCAAUUCAAUCUUCUCAUCAUCUAUGAGAUACUUCCCCAGAAAUCUUAACAUCAGAUGUUCCAGUUGCUGGCUUUGUUUGGUGCUGUCUUUCUCAAACAAGUAGCAUGAACUAAUCAGGCCACUUUUGUGAGUGAGUGAAGAUUACAGGGCUCCAAGAGAUACAUUAGGAAAUCUAAUGCCAAAUGCCAACAAAGACUCAACCAGUAUCAGGAUAAGACUUUAAAAUAUAUUUUUUGUUAGUACAUUAAAAGGCCUGAAAACUAAAGGCUUCUUUCUUUUACUGAAUUACAGAUAAAAUACUGAAUAGCAGUCAUCUCAAUCAGACAUGAAGCUUUCUGAAAAAAUUCCAUUUGACUUUAAUAAUUGUGCAACAGCCUUUUCUGCAAAUCUUUGUUUAAAAUAAAGCUCAGGAGUUUGACA